CUCACAGUUUGGGGCAUGGCCUAGCUGGGUCCUCUUAUUCAGGGUCUCUCACAAGAGGAUAGUCAAGGUGUCAGCCAGGGCUUUAGUCAAGGGGAGUAUCUGCUACCACAUUCAUUCAAACCUAUCAGGAUUCAAUUCCUUGAGUGUUGUUGGACUGUUGGCCUCAGUUCCUACAUGGAAACUUGCUUCAUCAAAGCCUGCAAGUUGAGAAGGCAAAUAAAAUGGUCUUCUAGCAAAUUUGACCUGGAAACUCCUGGAGGACACUCCGCAGACCUCUCACCUCUUCCUCUCUGAUGGAUGUUCACUGUAAGACUGAGACCAGGAUUUAGAGGUAGGGAAGGAAAUUUUCCACUAUAUAUACACUGAUGCACCUUUGGAUUUUGAAACAUUUGCAGAUAUAACUUAUUACAAAAGGUAAGAGAUUAAAAUUAAUAAUAAAAGUGGGAGGCAAUGUUGCAUUAAUUGAAAGAGUAUGCACUUUGGGAUGGGACAUGUGUAUAGGUGCCCAGUGAUUCUGGGCAAAUGUCUUAAUCUCUCUGAGCCUGUUUCCUCUUCCAUAAAAUGGAGAUUGUCCCACCUCCCUGGAAGAGCUGUGAUGUUACACCUGGUGCAACCAUUAAAGUACCCAGCACACAGUGGGAACCAUGAUCUUAUAACGCAAGGCCAAUGGUGCUAUUAUCUUCAGCUAUCCUGCUGGAGUUUUAGAUGGUUUAGCUUAGAUUUUCCCUCUUCCUUUCCUCCCUUUACCUGCCAGUGGCAUGGAGAUUUUCCAGUGCUGAGAUGCUGAGCAUUUGUCUUAGGUGAAGGAAAAAAGCCAGGGUCUUGAAAAGUGUGCAAGAUGGAACUCAGGCAGCCUCCCCAAUGGUGAUUUUGAUGGAGUUGAGCAAAAACGAAGCCAUAUAAGGAAAGUGCUUAUGGCCAUUUAGCCAGGCUCCAUCCUCAUCCUCGUGUAAGUUCUCAUAUUGGGAAAGGGAUUUGAGCAAACUAGUGGAGUGGCUGAGACACUGGGCAAAACCCACAUGAAACAGUGGAUUGCCUUAUAGAUUAAGGUAUCUGAGGAUAUGGCUUUGUUUUUUCAUUCUUGCAUCCCAAAAGCUACCACAAAGCAGACACCUUAGAAAGAAUAAUUAGGUCACUGAUCCAUCCAACUCUCCAAUUUCUCAUGAACCUUGGAAUUCUUCAACUGAUUCAUCCACAAUGAAUUUCCCAGUUAUAGACUCAACCUUGCACCCCACGCCACCCCAAAACACAGGUGGGUUUAUUUAUAAAUCUGUUCUUCUUAGGGAGGCUUCUGGAUGAGGAAGCAGCAGUGACUAGUGGUUAAAGUUCCAGGCACUAAAGUCAGACAUCUAGAUGUGAAAUCACAGUUGGGCCACUUCCUAGCUCUGUGACCUUGGCCAAGUCAUUCCAUCUCUCCAGAUCUUCAUUUCUUCAUGUGUACAAUGGAACAACAACAACAAAGUGCUAAUAUAAUUGGGUGCUUCUGUGCCAUGCACUGAAUGAGUGCUUCAUACCUAUUCAGUAUUAAUGGCACAUUUCAUAUGGUUGCUAUGCAAACUGGGUAAAUGCUCAGCACAGAGACUCGCAUACAGUAAGCACUCAAUAAAUGCGACUUGUUGCUAUUAUUACUCUCCCACUGGGGCCUGAAGGCUUGAUUAGCUUCUAUUUUAUGGUCAAGUAAUAGCAUGAUACCUAAGACAACUUCCCUCUACCCAAAUAGAUGGUUAUUUUUAACAGAGAAUAAAAGCUCAGCCAAAAAUCACAGAUAUUGAUGUUUUGCCUUUGUGUGAAUACUGAUAUCCACAUUUUUAGCAACAGGUGUUAUUGCAAUAAUACUAAAUACAUUUGCAAAAAUGUCUUUUGGUCUAAUGUGAGAUAAACACUAAUUGUCAUCCCUUUUAGCAGUGUCUGCUGUCUUUAGGGAUUCACAAGUUAAAACACUCACGUGGAAAAGCCAUACUCUUCUUCAGAAGGAACUCGCUGUCAUAGUUGUUUUUGAAAGCAUGAUUGAAUAGCAUUUUGCUUUGUUUAUAAAGAUGCCAGCCAUUGGCAUAUGCCAGGCAGAAAACUGGAGGCAGAAGCCCCUCUCUCCACUUUGGAGCCCCUAUACCUCACACACCAUCCCACCCUGAUGAUGAACCCAUACUCACUAAAUUGCUCCUAACCCUUCUCAUCUCAUAUUGUGCAUUACCACCUCCACUACAUUGCAGUAUUAAUUUGAUUUAUGGCCCAGCCGCCCCACCUGAGGCCCAAGAAGAUGGCUCCCCUCCGAUCGCUUCCAUCAGCAGUGUAAGUGGAAGGUAAUAAAAACCCAUACGUGGCUCAGACUUUCAAUUUCAAUUGGAAAUUGAAACGGUGCAAUAUGAUUAAAGUUUAAUCUGCAUCAUCAAUAAACAUGUGUGCUAAAGCAAUGAGGGCUGCUUCACCUCCUGGUCGCAGGCAUGGAUUUGAUGAGAGCGUGUCUGCCGUCUCUUGUCUAAACGAUGUGUUUAUGAGGGUGGGGGGUGCACACACAACAUAUGUGCAUGGGCUGCGGGGAGUUGAUAUAUUUGUACAAAGAGAUGAAAAUCAUCAUAUGGACAUGUUUGGGAGGAAAAGGUUGCUCAUGCUCAGAUGAAACUGGAUUCAAUCAACAGCUCAAUGAGGAUUCGCUAAGGGUGCAAUGGUUUUUCAAGGAUUGCUAAUUAAUAUUCAUGUAUUCAUGGAUUUAUUUGUAAAGUAUUCAUUGAGUGCCUACUGUGUGUCUGACCGUAUGCUGGGUCCUGGGGUCGUAACUGUGAAGGGGAAAAACAGAUACCAUUUCUGCUCUCAGGGAGCUUAUAGUAAUGGUUGAAAGGGAUGUCAGUCAAAUAAUUAGGCAAUUAAAUGUAAAACUGCUCCUGUAUGAAGUGCUCACAAUAAAGAGAUUUAUAAUCCUCUGAGUGCUGUCAAGAAGGAGAUGUGAAAAGAAAUAAAGAAGAAGAUGUCACCUAUCCUAUAAGAUCAAGGAGAGCUUCCUGGAGAUGGUAAAGAUUGAGCUAAAGUUCAAAGAGUAAGUUGUGUGAAGUUAACUGGGGGUGGGGGUAGGGACAGAGUUUGGGAGAUGGUACAGACACAAGAGAGACCCAGCCACAGGACACUUUAUAUGCAAAGGCUGGGGGCAAGAGGAAGCAUAGCAAAUCUGAGCCAGGGUUGAAAGAAGGCAGAGUGGCUGGACUAGAGAGGAAGAGGCUCAAGAUGAGUCUGGAGAUUGUAGAGAGAAACCACACAGGACAUUGUAGGAUGUGGCAAAGGGUCUAGAUCUUUUUUCCCCCUAAGUGCAAGGGGAAGCUAUCAGAGGGUUUUAAUCAGGGACACUAUGUGGUCUAAUUAAGAGGAUGCUGCAUAAAGAAAGUAAUGGAGGAAGAAGGAAUAGAUGGACAGGUACUGAUGUGCAAGCUAUUUCUGUGGUCCAGAGGGAAGGUGAGGAUAAUUUGGACUCACUGAUGGCAGUGGAAAUGAGAAGUAGACACAUUUUCUACAGGGUGGAAGUCAAUGCCUUCUCUUCAAAUACACAAUAAAUUGACUCAUCUCAUCUCCAGUCUUACGGUCCUUACUCAAAAUAUCUCUAUUGCCUCCAUUAAUUCCCCCAGCCUCCUGUUCUCCAAGAAAACAGGCCACUCAACCUGCACUUUAGCAACUUUGGCUUCUGCUUCAAACUUACUUAUGCCUUUACCCAUCCUUACUUAUAUCUGUUCCUCCUGAGGGUAAAAGGUAGACCACCUUAGCCUUGACCUCCAGGUCUUCACACACAUUGUUCCUUCUGCAAGAACACUCUUUCCAUAGGCCCCUCAAGUCUCAGCUCAGAGCCUUUCUUUCAGAAGUCUUCUCUGACCCUCUCUAAAGACCUGAGUUAGAAACUACAUAUCAGCAUACAAUAACAGCCUGCUUAGUUGGCCUGAAGCAACAGGUAGACUGUGAAAACAUUGACAGGAGGGCCAGGCCUUGUUUCUCAUUAUAUCCUCCAGGACCUUGGAUAGUGGCACAUGGACCAGGCUCAAUAAAUACCUGUUUAUGAAGACUGAAGAACUGUUCCUUCUCUCUAAAGCCAACUCCUUUCCUUAUGCUAUUGACCCCAACUCUUCCCACUUCAUUGAGACCUUGUUGCAACAAUUUUCCCUUCUGUCUUAUAUGUUCUAAUUCACUUCUUAACUAGAUCCUCCCUCACAACAAGAAAGGUAUGCUUCUUCUAAGAGCACUUUCAUUCAAUCCUGGCUUACCCCCAAGAGUAGAAGCUUCCCCUAAGCUUCUGUUCAAACUUCUAGAAAUCACAAGCCAUACACUCUACUUCCUCUCACCUUGCUUCCUUCACCGUUUAGUUUCCCAUUCUCACAGUCCCACUGAAAUACUCUCGAGAGCCCCGAGGACCUCUCAAUGCUAGAUUCAAUGGUCACUUUUCAGCCUUCAUUCUACUUGACUCUUCAGUAACAUUCGCUGCUGUUGACCACCUGCCUUCUGCUUGAAACUCUCCUACAGUUUGAUUUUCACAGUCAUAUUUCCUGGCUCUUCACUUAAAUCUUUGAAAUUUCUCAUUUAUUACCCUCUAAUGAACUUUCUGUUUUUUUUUUUUCAUGCUGUUUCACAGAUGAAUAAACUAAAGAUGCAAUAAGCCAUAUGAUGGUGAAUAUGUUUCUUCAAGAGUCCUCAUCUGAUGGAAAUAUACCAAAGUACUUUUGCAUGAAAUAUCAUAUCUCAGAACUUCUUGAAAUACUCCAGAUGUGCUCAUGUAUUACUCAUGUAAUUAAAAAGGCAAAGGUACAUUAGGCACCUAUUGUGAGCCUGGAGCUGUUCUUGGUACUGAAGAAACACCAGAGAAUGAAUUGGACCUGGACCCACCUUCACAAAAGUUCUCAAAGAAGUGGAGAUGAGACAAGAGAGUGUGAUGACCUUGCUCAGUCUUGGAGGUGGCGAGGAGGAGGUUCAGAGAAGACACCCUGGAAAAAGUAACAUUUAAGUUAAGACCUGGAGGAUAAGAAGUAGUUAGCAUUCAA
Non-coding RNA from Odocoileus virginianus texanus, 5009 nucleotides. The record is from RefSeq and is a predicted model, not a curated record. Lineage: Eukaryota; Metazoa; Chordata; Mammalia; Artiodactyla; Cervidae.